AACUUAUUGCACUUCUACUGUUACACGGCAUGGAAAGCAGCCUGCUUAGUGAGGAGAUGCAGGCAGUGAAGGAGGAGAUAUAUUUCCAUUUUAAUAUGAGCUCUUCUCAAGGUUUGUUAUGGGGACGUCAGCUGGACCACAAAGCAAACACUUUGUGAGGUGCUCACCUGCAAUUUCACCACAAACAGGAGAGGUCCUGGAGCGAACCGAUGGCAUUGGGAGUUUGCUCCUGGCCAGCCCAGAUUGCCUCCAUCUACCAAACCUCAUCCCAGUGGUCUCUCCUGAAGCUCAUGUUUGCCACCCAUGGAGCCACAGUAAUCAUUCGGUGCAGCCAAGAGCAUCACAGCGAUGCUGUAUCCAUCCUGAGCUGCAGCGGUGGCUGUCCUUUCCCCAGCAUCCCUGACCCAACCUGGGUCCUGAAUGCUCUUUGUGGUGAGGCCCCGGCACUGCCCAGAGUUGUGGGUGCCCCAUCCCUGGAAGUGCCUGAGGCCAUGGAUGGGUCCUGAGCAGCCUGAGCUGAAGGGCAGCCAGCCCUUGAUUUAACUACAGGCUCCGACGUUACAGCAUCCUGUUGCUCUCCCAUAGCAGACUGAGCAUACGUUUUUUUUUUAAACGCCUCUAACAUAUUGCAUCAGCAAUCACAGCGUUGUGAUAGCCCGACUUUUUAGCUUGAUUACACCACAAGAUGAGCUUUUAAGCUUUUAUGAGAAUGCCAUAAAUGUCAGCGGGGAGAUGAAACACCCCGACAGAAAGCGAAUGCUGGGCUCUGGUGGAGCCCUACGGACUGUGCUGAUGGGAGCCCUGCACUCCUUGUUCCCUCUCUUCUACAGCCGACGUUGUCCCGCAUUUUCACUUCUCCAAAAAGAUUUAAUUAUGUCAACAAUGGCAUCGAUGAGUUACUGCGACAUUUUGAAGCCCAGCAAAAAUGGUGGUUAGAGCACUCCCAGUCAACACGCCUCCUACCACCGCAUUCCGAGUGCAGUAUUAAGGUUCAUGGAGUUCAGAAACAAACUGUUUAAUUGCUGGACACAGGAUAUAUUUUGAUCUCCUUCAAUAAAAGAAAAUGAAUGAAA
This is a long non-coding RNA of Gallus gallus (chicken), 1073 nucleotides long. Lineage: Eukaryota; Metazoa; Chordata; Aves; Galliformes; Phasianidae. The record is from Ensembl.